UCUGAAGACUGUCGCCCUGCUCUAAAAUUGUCCUGGACUGUUUUGGAAGCAGUCUGGUUGCUCUCUUAGAUUUCAGAAGGAAGAUUGCUGCCCAUGCCUCUGUGUUUAGGGAGGAAGCCGGGGCGGAAGGUAGUGCUUCCACACAGCAGCGAACUCUGCAACAACCCUCACUGACUGCAGUCUCUCAGCUCCUCCUGCAAACAGUCAAGCUCCUGCCUUUAGGAUGAUUUCCUUCUGGGAGGACUUGGUGCCACCACGGCUUUCAGUGACUUCUGCCAGCUUCUUGAAGCAGCUCUCAAUAGCAACUGUCUAGCUCAGGCAAACACAGGGUAUCCUGUGUGACUGAGGACACUGGACAUGUGGCUGUCCUGCCACCACCUCCCUGUGUUCCCGCAGGGCAGAGCGUUGUCCCCAGGAGUGAAGUAGCAGAGGGUGGAUGUAACUAGACCCAGGCAGUUUCUGUUGUUCUCCAACACAUCAGUGUUAUUCACAUCAGUGGAUGUGAAUAUUGUGCUAAACUGGUCUGAAGAGCCUGCAAAAACCAAGCAGAUGGUUUGAUUUGCAGCAGGAAAGAAAAAGAUGGAGAAAAAAGCAAUGGCUCUAGCAGUUUGAGAAGAGGCCCUCCAUUGACAAUUGAUC
Molecule: non-coding RNA, 639 nt
Organism: Struthio camelus australis
Lineage: Eukaryota; Metazoa; Chordata; Aves; Struthioniformes; Struthionidae
Source: RefSeq, a predicted model, not a curated record